RNAcentral lists this ribosomal RNA (451 nucleotides) under uncultured bacterium. RNAcentral describes it as "bacterial SSU rRNA". It matches the Rfam family "Bacterial small subunit ribosomal RNA", at positions 354 to 796 of the family's 1533-position model. The record is from RNAcentral.
GUGGGGAAUAUUGGACAAUGGGCGAAAGCCUGAUCCAGCCACGCCGCGUGUGUGAUGAAGGCCUUCGGGUCGUAAAGCACUGUGGAGAGGGAAGAAACGCAAUGGGAAUAAUACCUCAUUGAAUUGACGGUACCUCUUUAGCAAGCACCGGCUAACUCCGUGCCAGCAGCCGCGGUAAUACGGAGGGUGCAAACGUUGCUCGGAAUCAUUGGGCGUAAAGCGCGUGUAGGCGGCUGGUUAAGUUGAGUGUGAAAGCCCCGAGCUUAACUUGGGAAGUGCGCUCAAAACUGGCCAGCUAGAGUACGGGAGAGGGUAGUGGAAUUCCCGGUGUAGAGGUGAAAUUCGUAGAUAUCGGGAGGAACACCAGUGGCGAAGGCGGCUACCUGGACCGAUACUGACGCUGAGACGCGAAAGCGUGGGUAGCAAACAGGAUUAGAAACCCCAGUAGUCC